UACGGAGGGUGCAAGCGUUAUCCGGAUUCACUGGGGUUAAAGGGUGCGUAGGUGGGCGAGAAAGUCAGUGGUGAAAUCUCCGGGCUUAACCCGGAAACUGCCAUUGAUACUAUUUGUCUUGAAUACUUUGGAGGUAAGCGGAAUAUGUCAUGUAGCGGUGAAAUGCUUAGAUAUGACAUAGAACACCAAUUGCGCAGGCAGCUUACUAGACAGUAAUUGACACUGAGGCACGAAAGCGUGGGGAUCAAACAGG
Molecule: ribosomal RNA, 253 nt
Filed under: uncultured bacterium
Lineage: Bacteria
Description: partial 16S ribosomal RNA
Rfam family: Bacterial small subunit ribosomal RNA
Source: RNAcentral